This 586-nucleotide small RNA is filed under the name Pan troglodytes (chimpanzee). Its description in RNAcentral is "retained intron". Lineage: Eukaryota; Metazoa; Chordata; Mammalia; Primates; Hominidae. The record is from RNAcentral.
AGAGUGAAGCGGGAGUGAGAGGGAGCUGGCUGGAGGACCAGGUGGACACGCUGACCUUCCAGAGCCAGUCUCUGCGGGACAGAGCCCGCCGCUUCGAAGAGGCCUUGAGGAAGAACACAGAGGAGCAGCUGGAGGUAGUUUCUGGAUUCCAGGCUUCCAGCCCCGCAGGGACCCUGCCCCAGCGAGGCCGAGGGACUCCCUCAGCAGUCUCGUCCCAAGACAAGGCCUCUCUGUGAAUCCGCUGCUGAAGUGACAGCUGGUCACGACCUCCCCUGGAUUUUUAAACAAUUCCUGUCAGCAGCUCUCCCCUGAGACAGACAGCAGCUGUGGGUUUCUCCAGCUACGUGUUAUUUUUGCCAAAUUCCACAGCAUUCCCCAGCUGGAGUCGUGGGGCUCCUAUGAUAAGCAUGGUCUGGAAACCCCCCUCCGCUGGCCUGACCACCCCUUCCAGCCCAUUCUCCGCAACUUUUUAAGCUGACAUGGGGCAGCCUUGGCUGCAGCAUGCGUUCAGUUGAGGGGAAUUUUUUCCAGAAAAGCUGGCAAAACUCCUUCCCUCUAACAUGGGGUUGCCAAAUAAAAUACAGGA